This 473-nucleotide ribosomal RNA is filed under the name uncultured organism. RNAcentral describes it as "partial 16S ribosomal RNA". It matches the Rfam family "Bacterial small subunit ribosomal RNA", at positions 334 to 800 of the family's 1533-position model. The record is from RNAcentral.
CACUCCUGCGGGAGGCAGCAGUGGGGAAUUUUGGACAAUGGGCGAAAGCCUGAUCCAGCAAUGCCGCGUGAGUGAAGAAGGCCUUCGGGUUGUAAAGCUCUUUUGUCAGGGAAGAAACGGUGAAAGCUAAUAUCUUUUGCUAAUGACGGUACCUGAAGAAUAAGCACCGGCUAACUACGUGCCAGCAGCCGCGGUAAUACGUAGGGUGCAAGCGUUAAUCGGAAUUACUGGGCGUAAAGCGUGCGCAGGCGGUUUUGUAAGUCUGAUGUGAAAUCCCCGGGCUCAACCUGGGAAUUGCAUUGGAGACUGCAAGGCUAGAAUCUGGCAGAGGGGGGUAGAAUUCCACGUGUAGCAGUGAAAUGCGUAGAUAUGUGGAGGAACACCGAUGGCGAAGGCAGCCCCCUGGGUCAAGAUUGACGCUCAUGCACGAAAGCGUGGGGAGCAAACAGGAUUAGAUACCCUUGUAGCCAUGA